CAAUGGGCGAAAUCCUGAUGGAGCAACCCCGCGUGAGUGAAGAAGGUUUUCGGAUCGUAAAACUCUGUUGUAAGGGAAGACCAAGUACAGUAGUAACUGGCUGUACCUUGACGGUACCUUAUUAGAAAGCCACGGCUAACUACGUGCCAGCAGCCGCGGUAAUACGUAGGUGGCAAGCGUUGUCCGGAAUUAUUGGGCGUAAAGCGCGCGCAGGCGGUCCUUUAAGUCUGAUGUGAAAGCCCACGGCUCAACCGUGGAGGGUCAUUGGAAACUGGGGGACUUGAGUGCAGAAGAGGAAAGUGGAAUUCCAAGUGUAGCGGUGAAAUGCGUAGAGAUUUGGAGGAACACCAGUGGCGAAGGCGACUUUCUGGUCUGUAACUGACGCUGAGGCGCGAAAGCGUGGGGAGCAAACAGGAUUAGAUACCCUGGUAGUCCACGCCGUAAACAAAGAGUGCUAAGUGUUAGGGGGUUUCCGCCCCUUAGUGCUG
RNAcentral lists this ribosomal RNA (488 nucleotides) under Lysinibacillus fusiformis. RNAcentral's name for it is "bacterial SSU rRNA". It matches the Rfam family "Bacterial small subunit ribosomal RNA", at positions 369 to 848 of the family's 1533-position model. Lineage: Bacteria; Bacillati; Bacillota; Bacilli; Caryophanales; Bacillaceae. The record is from RNAcentral.